CCUACGGGGGGCAGCAGUGAGGAAUAUUGGUCAAUGGACGAGAGUCUGAACCAGCCAAGUAGCGUGAAGGAUGACUGCCCUAUGGGUUGUAAACUUCUUUUAUAUGGGAAUAAAAUGUUCCACGUGUGGGAUUUUGUAUGUACCAUAUGAAUAAGGAUCGGCUAACUCCGUGCCAGCAGCCGCGGUAAUACGGAGGAUCCGAGCGUUAUCCGGAUUUAUUGGGUUUAAAGGGAGCGUAGGUGGAUUGAUAAGUCAGUUGUGAAAGUUUGCGGCUCAACCGUAAAAUUGCAGUUGAAACUGGCAGUCUUGAGUACAGUAGAGGUGGGCGGAAUUCGUGGUGUAGCGGUGAAAUGCUUAGAUAUCACGAAGAACUCCGAUUGCGAAGGCAGUUCACUGGACUGCAACUGACACUGAGGCUCGAAAGUGUGGGUAUCAAACAGGAUUAGAUACCCGUGUAGUC
RNAcentral lists this ribosomal RNA (460 nucleotides) under uncultured bacterium. RNAcentral's name for it is "partial 16S ribosomal RNA". It matches the Rfam family "Bacterial small subunit ribosomal RNA", at positions 338 to 795 of the family's 1533-position model. The record is from RNAcentral.